UACAUGUGGGGCAAGCGUUGUUCGGAAUUACUGGGCAUAAAGGGUGCGUAGGCGGCUUGUUAAGUCAGGGGUGAAAUCCCACGGCCCAACCGUGGAACUGCCUUUGAUACUGGCGAGCUUGAGUGCGUGAGGGGUAACCGGAACGAGUAGUGUAGCGGUGAAAUGCGUAGAUAUUACUCGGAAGGCCAAAGGCGAAGGCAGGUUACUGGUACGCAACUGACGCUGAUGCACGAAAGCGUGGGGAGCAAACAGG
This 253-nucleotide ribosomal RNA is filed under the name uncultured bacterium. RNAcentral describes it as "partial 16S ribosomal RNA". It matches the Rfam family "Bacterial small subunit ribosomal RNA", at positions 524 to 776 of the family's 1533-position model. The record is from RNAcentral. RNAcentral also lists the same sequence under 1 other name.